UACGUAUGGAGCAAGCGUUAUCCGGAUUUACUGGGUGUAAAGGGAGCGUAGACGGUGAGGCAAGUCUGAUGUGAAAGCCCGGGGCUCAACCCCGGAACUGCAUUGGAAACUGUUGGUCUUGAGUAUCGGAGAGGCAGGCGGAAUUCCUAGUGUAGCGGUGAAAUGCGUAGAUAUUAGGAGGAACACCGGUGGCGAAGGCGGCUCACUGGACUGUAACUGACGUUGAGGCUCGAAAGCGUGGGGAGCAA
This 248-nucleotide ribosomal RNA is filed under the name uncultured Lachnospiraceae bacterium. RNAcentral describes it as "partial 16S ribosomal RNA". It matches the Rfam family "Bacterial small subunit ribosomal RNA", at positions 524 to 771 of the family's 1533-position model. The record is from RNAcentral. Lineage: Bacteria; Bacillati; Bacillota; Clostridia; Lachnospirales; Lachnospiraceae.